AUUGAACGCUGGCGGCAGGCCUAACACAUGCAAGUCGAGCGGAUGAAGGGAGCUUGCUCUUGGAUUCAGCGGCGGACGGGUGAGUAAUGCCUAGGAAUCUGCCUGGUAGUGGGGGAUAACGUCCGGAAAGGGGCGCUAAUACCGCAUACGUUCUGAGGGAGAAAGGGGGGGAUCUUCGGACCUCACGCUAUUAGAUGAGCCUAGGUCGGAUUAGCUAGUUGGUGGGGUAAAGGCGUACCAAGGCGACGAUCCGUAGCUGGUCUGAGAGGAUGAUCAGUCACACUGGAACUGAGACACGGUCCAGACUCCUACGGGAGGCAGCAGUGGGGAAUAUUGGACAAUGGGCGAAAGCCUGAUCCAGCCAUGCCGCGUGUGUGAAGAAGGUCUUCGGAUUGUAAAGCACUUUUAGUUGGGAGGAAGAGCAGUAAGUUAAUACCUUGCUGUUUUGACGUUACCAACAGAAUAAGCACCGGCUAACUUCGUG
This 484-nucleotide ribosomal RNA is filed under the name uncultured bacterium. RNAcentral's name for it is "partial 16S ribosomal RNA". It matches the Rfam family "Bacterial small subunit ribosomal RNA", at positions 30 to 507 of the family's 1533-position model. The record is from RNAcentral.